This is a long non-coding RNA of Loxodonta africana (African savanna elephant), 3557 nucleotides long. RefSeq lists it as uncharacterized. The record is from RefSeq and is a predicted model, not a curated record. Lineage: Eukaryota; Metazoa; Chordata; Mammalia; Proboscidea; Elephantidae. The transcript is spliced from 3 exons.
AGCAUUAUGCUGAGUGAAAUUAGUCAGAGGCAAAAAGACAAAUAUUGCAUAAGACCAGUAGUAUAAGAUAUUGAGAAACAGUAUAAACUGAGAACACAUACUUUUGUGGUUAUGGGGUGAGGGGGAGGGAGGGAUGGUGAGAGAGGGUUAUUUACUGAUUAGUUAGUAGAUAAGAACUACUUUAGGUGAAGGGAAGGACAAUACUCAAUACAGAGAACGUCAGCUCAACUGGACUGGACCAAAAGCAAAGAAGUUUCUGGGAUAAACUGAAUGCUUCAAGGGUCAGCGGAGCAAGGGCAGGGGUUUGGGGACUAUGGCUUAAGGGGACUUCUAAGUCAAUUGGCAAAAUAAUUCUAUUAUGAAAACAUUCUGCAUCCCACUUUGAAAUGAGGCAUCUGGGGUCUUAAAUGCUAACAAGCGGCCAUCUAAGAUGCAUCAAUUGGUCUCAACCCACCUGGAUCAAAGGAGAAUGAAGAACACCAAGGUCACACGAUAACUAUGAGCCCAAGAGACAGAAAGGGCCACAUGAACCAGAGAUUUACAUCAUUCUGAGACCAGAAGAACUAGAUGGUGCCCGGCCACAACCGAUGACUGCCCUGACAGGGAGUACAACAGAGAACCUAUGAGGGAGCAGGAGAACAGUGGGUUGCAGACCCCAAAUUCUCAUAAAAAGACCAGACUUAAUGGUCUGAGACUAGAGGAAUCCUGGCGGUCAUGGUCCCCAAACCUUUUGUUGGCCCAAGACAGGAACCAUUCCCGAAGACAACUCACCAGACAUGGAAGGGACUGGACAAUGGGUUGGAGAGAGAUGCUGAUGAAGAGUGAGCUACUUGUACCAGAGUUGACUACCAGCCAGUUUGGAAUUCCAGCCUAGUUUGCAGAGGGACCCAGGCCCACUUUAUAUAGAGGAAACCACCAAGAUUUGCCUUACUAGGAACCAGAAUGGACAACUGUUCCUGAGAAGUGCCAAGCUGAGACCCACCACUGCCAUAUGCCACCUGGGGCCACUUCUCCCUCUACCACCAGCACCAAGGAUACCAAGGCCCCAAUUUAAGUCAUAUACCUUCAGUCUCCUGGACAAGUUCACUAACUCUUUCUGGGCUCAAUUUCUUCAUCUGUAAAAUGAGAAUAAUAACAUCUACUUUGCAAGAUUGUCCUAAUAAUUAAAUAAUUUGAAGGCAUAUAUUAGAUAUACAAUAGGUAUUUCAUUUAUUAUUCGCAGAGUAUUCAUUGAGCACCUACUAUGAGCCAGGUACUGUGCUAGGAUAGAAUCUCUGCUCUUAAGGUGCUCAUAGUUUAUUUAGUUGAGGAGGCAACAUUUUUACAAAUAAUGAUAUAAUUUCAAUAAAAAUAAAGGAAAUAAACAGGACACUAUGUUAGUUCCUGUUGCUGCUUAAAUUUAGGUGCAGUAUAUACUGAAAAUCAGAAGUUUUUGAGUUAGAAGUUAGACUAUCUCUGGAUAUAAUAUUAGGCAAGUAAGAAAAAUAAUGACAUUCAUUUCUUAGCAGCAAAUUGGGGCCAUUAUAUAACGGUUUUAUGAUAUAUACCAGAAAAACUAAGAAUUGUCUAAUGGAAAAUUAUUUGUUUUUCCUUAAUCCUCUCAUAAAGAAAAUAGAAAUCAAACCAAGCCAAAUCAAACAAAGCAAGCCACUAACUCAACAACAAAUCAACCAGUUAACAAAGAGAAGAAUUAAACAGUAAGAUGUUUCUAAAUUUCAGAAACAAUUACAGUGAUUCAUUUCAGAGCCAAAUUAAAAACAAUUGGGUUGUUGUUAGUAGGCCCCAACUCAUGGUAACCUCAUGCACAAUGGAACGAAAUGCUUCCUGUGGGACUGUGGAUUGGACUGUUGUGAUCCACGGUGUUUUCAUUGGCUGAUUUUUGGAAGUAGAUUGCCAGGACUUUCUUGGCAAUCUGUUUGACAUCAUAACAACAUACAAACCACCACUGACAGAUAGAUGGGGGCUGAGCAUGAGGUGAACUGGCCAGGAAUUGAACCCAGGUCUCCACCAUGGAAGGCAAGAAUCCUACCACUGAACCACCAUUGGUAUUUGGUGCUCCAGUCCUAUGCUAAGUGCUUUCAUGAAUGUUCUCACUUAUUCUUCCUAACAGCUCUUCAGAUAUAUAGCUUAAUAUCCACAUUUUGCAGAUGAAAAAGAGUAAGAGCUACAUCCCAAAAGUCACACUGUGCAAGAGAGGCAGAGGUGAGUCUCAAAGAUCUUUAUGAUAAAAAAAAGCCUGUGCUAUUAACCACCACAUUAUUAAAGCAUUUGGCUAACAAUACAAUUAUCUAUACACUUAUUUUGGAAAAAAUUAGAUUCUUAUACUAUCCACCAGUAAAUUCCAGGUGGUUAAAAUAUCUGUUUAAAAUAUGAAACCAUAUAAACAGAUGUAAUACAAGAGAAAUAUUCUUAUAUCAUUGGGGAUGGAGAAACCAUUUCUAAUUAUGCAUGCAGCCCAUAAAUCAUAAAAAAAAGUAAUGAAUAAUAGGACUAAAAUGUUGUUAGGGCAAUAGAUACCAUAAACAAAGUUAAAAAGGAAAUGACAACUGAGAAAAAAAUUGCAAUCUAGAUAACAAAGGGUUAAUAUCUAUAAUAGAUAAAUAAACCAAUCAGCCAAUAGGAAAAACAAACAAAUGGAGAAACAGGUUAAUCCAAAAGCCCAUUGUCAUCAAGUCAGUUUUGACUCAUAGUGACCCUAUGGGACAGAGUGGAAUUGCCCCAUAGGGUUUCCGAGGCUAUAAUCUUUAGAGAAGCAGACUGCCACAUCUUUCACCCACGGAGUGGCUGGUGACUCAAACUGCUGACCUUUUUGGUUGGCAGCCAAGUGCUUUAACCACUGUGCCACCAGGGCUCCAGGUAAAGAAUAUGAACAUGCAUUUCAUAAAAGGUAUAACUGUCAUGGUAAGAUCAUCAACCUUACUGAGAGUUAAAUAAUAUAAAUCAAAACCAUAACAUAUUAUUUUAGAAAUAAUAUAUUGCCAAAUUUGAAAAAUGUUAAUGUCAAAUACAUGAAAACAAUAUUAAAUUAGCAAAUAUUAAAAUUAAAAUAGUUAUUAUAACUUUGAAUGACUUAUUUAUUGAGUUCCAUUAGUCCUGGAAUCUAUCCUAAGAAAUAUUCCCACACCUGACCAAAAAUUCAUAUAUAAAGGUUUAAUGUUGUAUUGCUUGAAAUUUAGAAAUAGAAGCAAGUAACAACAGAGAAUUAAUUGAAUAACUUAAUGAUAUUUCCAUAUGAUGGACUUCACAGUCAUUUAGAAAAAAGUUGACCUAUAUGCACAUGAUUUGUUAUAAAAUAAGGAAGCACCUUUCUGAACAGCAUGAUCUCAUUUGUGUUAUAGAACUCUAUUUCUGUAUACAUAGAAGAGUAGUUUGAAAGAUAAGUACUCAAAUAUUAGUCAUAGUUAUCUCUAGGAAAUGAGAAGGAUAGAGGGAGUUUUAGUAUCUACUUUUGCAUCAUUUAAAUUUUCAACAUGCACACAUCUGUGCACACAUAUGUAUUUCUCCAAAAGCUUUAGAGACAAGUCAGAAAUAAAACUUAGCUGUUUCAUAAAUCAAAA